AAGCAGCAUGCAUGGCCUUCAAGAUAAAUAAUCUAAAUGAUUAUAUGUUUAGAUAAUGGCAUCAACUGCACCUACAUCAUGUGGACCUUGUAAAAAAAUAGGAGAAACUAUUUCAGCUGACUUCUGGUGUUAUAACUGUGAUGAAGGAUUUUGCUCAACAUGUUCCAACCAUCACAAAAGAUUCAAUGGAAUAGAGGAUUACAAAAUCAUCGAUAUUAAAACCAUCAAUCCGACAAAACUAUAUAGAAUGUGACAAACAUGGAAACCAGCUUUAUUUGUACUGCGCAAAUCAUUUAGUACCUUGCUGUGAAGAAUGUAAUUCCACUAGCCAUUCUAAAUGUACUGGAAUAAAAACAUUAACUAGUGUAGUGGAGAGAACUAAAAUUGAAAAAAUGAAAGAAUCUGUAGCACGUGUAGAGCGAGAUAUCGAUUAUGUCUCAAAUAUUUGUGAAUAAAUAUUGAAUAUGAAAUUAAAAAACGUCAAACAGGUGAAGACCAGUAUUUAGGCACUAAGAAAUCAAUUGAAGAUAUUCGGAAGGAAAUAAAUAAACAUUUAGACAAACUAAAGGAGAAAAUAUGUCAAAAAGCAGAAACUAUUUGGAAUCAGGAAAAAUCAGCAGCCAUGCACAGAUUUCAUUUCUGAAGUUGAAGGAAGAACGAAAAGCUUGAAGGAAAUUAAAGCCAAUGUGCCAACAGUCAUGUCACAUGCCUCAAAACUCCAAUCAUUUUUAUGUCUACAUCAGAUUAAACAACAAGUAUAUAAAUGUCAACGAUGUAUUGAAGACUGGGAAACAGAUGAGAAGGUUAGAGAAUUUGACAUCAAACUGGCGCAAUAUAGUAAAUUAGAAAAUAUAUUAAGCAAAUUUUAAUCGUUAGAAAGCUUAGGGGAAGUAAAAGUUACUAGAACAGAACCCUCACUGUACGUGGGAACAGGCA
Molecule: long non-coding RNA, 936 nt
Filed under: Mytilus galloprovincialis (Mediterranean mussel)
Lineage: Eukaryota; Metazoa; Mollusca; Bivalvia; Mytilida; Mytilidae
Source: RNAcentral